Molecule: ribosomal RNA, 39 nt
Filed under: uncultured Atheliaceae
Lineage: Eukaryota; Fungi; Basidiomycota; Agaricomycetes; Atheliales; Atheliaceae
Description: partial 28S ribosomal RNA
Source: RNAcentral
UUGACCUCAGAUCAGGUAGGACUACCCGCUGAACUUAAG